RNAcentral lists this transfer RNA (96 nucleotides) under Tautonia plasticadhaerens. Its description in RNAcentral is "Planctomycetes bacterium ElP tRNA-Ser". Lineage: Bacteria; Pseudomonadati; Planctomycetota; Planctomycetia; Isosphaerales; Isosphaeraceae. The record is from RNAcentral.
GGGGGAGAUGGACGAGGCCGGCGAAUAUGAAUUCUCGUUCGAGACGACGGGGUUCGGCGAGGAGCAGCCGCUCCGGAUCGUCGCCCAGCUCCCCCA